GAUGAACGCUGGCGGCGUGCCUAAUACAUGCAAGUCGAGCGAACGGACGCGAAGCUUGCUUCUCUGAUGUUAGCGGCGGACGGGUGAGUAACACGUGUAUAACCUACCUAUAAUACUGGGAUAACUUCGGGAAACCGUAGCUAAUACCGGAUAAUCUUUUGAACCGCAUGGUUCAAAAGUGAAAGACGGUCUUGCUGGCACUUAUCGAUGCAUCCGCGCUUCAUUAGCUAGUUGUUCAGGUAACGGGUUACGAAGGCAACGAUGCAUAGCCGACCUGAGAGGGGGAUAGGCCACACUGGAACUGAGACACGGUCCAGAGUCCUACGGGAGGCAGCAGUAGGGAAUCUGCCGCAGUAGGCGAAAGCCUGACGGAGCAACGCCGCGUGAGUGAUGAAGGUCUUCGGAUCGUAAAACUGUGUUAUUAGGGAAGAACAUAUGUGUAAGUAACUGUGCACAUCGUGACGGUACCUAAUCAGAAAGCAACGGCUAACUACGUG
Molecule: ribosomal RNA, 497 nt
Filed under: uncultured bacterium
Lineage: Bacteria
Description: partial 16S ribosomal RNA
Rfam family: Bacterial small subunit ribosomal RNA
Source: RNAcentral